AGCAGCCGCGGUAAUUCCAGCUCCAAUAGCGUAUAUUAAAGUUGUUGCAGUUAAAAAGCUCGUAGUUGAAUUUCGGGAUUGGCGCAUCGGACGUGCCUCACGGGGUAUGAACUGGUGCAGUCAAUUUCUCACCUUCUGGAGAACCGCGAUGUCCUUAAUUGGAUGCCGCGGGGAACCAGGACCUUUACUUGAAAAAUUGAGUGUUUAAAGCAGGCAUUUUUGCUUGAAUACAUUAGCAUGGAAUAAUAAAAUAGGACGGCAUGGUUCUAUUUUGUUGGUUCUAGGACCACCGUAAUGAUUAAUAGGGAUAGUUGGGGGC
RNAcentral lists this ribosomal RNA (319 nucleotides) under uncultured Glomeromycotina. Its description in RNAcentral is "SSU rRNA". It matches the Rfam family "Eukaryotic small subunit ribosomal RNA", at positions 569 to 889 of the family's 1831-position model. The record is from RNAcentral. Lineage: Eukaryota; Fungi; Glomeromycota.